RNAcentral lists this long non-coding RNA (150 nucleotides) under Propithecus coquereli (Coquerel's sifaka). RNAcentral describes it as "FTX transcript, XIST regulator conserved region 3 (ENSPCOG00000007773.1)". It matches the Rfam family "FTX transcript, XIST regulator conserved region 3". Lineage: Eukaryota; Metazoa; Chordata; Mammalia; Primates; Indriidae. The record is from RNAcentral.
CUGACAACUUACCACACAAGGACAUCCAUAGUAACAGUGAUUCAUUCUUCCUGGCUCUCUGGUGAACUUGCUGGGCAGGAAGCAUCAGUAUGAGUAACAGGCAGUAUUUAUGUUGCUCUUAACCAAUGGCAAGAUUUCUGGCUACCCAGG